Molecule: non-coding RNA, 2702 nt
Organism: Phoenix dactylifera (date palm)
Lineage: Eukaryota; Viridiplantae; Streptophyta; Magnoliopsida; Arecales; Arecaceae
Source: RefSeq, a predicted model, not a curated record
GCUAUUGGAUUUUGGCUUGUGGGAAAAUUAACGUAAUCUAAGGGGGCAAAUUGAGUAAGACGACCCUGUUAUGUUUAUCCAAAAAUCUUUUCAGAGCUGGUCUAAGUCCCUUUUUUGGCUUCCACUUGAGGUUCUAUUCACAAAAUGGUGACUUUUUUCAAUGAGCAAGGUAGGGAGCCAAAUGUAAUUUUAAUGCACUGCAGCUGUAUGAACAUAUUGCUGGUUGAGUUGUUAGGUGUGUAUGAUGAUGUUUUGUUGAUUCAAUGAGCUACAUAUUGGUUUGUUGUAUGAUGAUGUUUUGUUGAUUCAAUGUUUUGUUGAUUCAAUGAUGUUUUGUUGUUAGCUGUUUGAACAUAUUGCUGGUUGAGUUGUUAGGUGUGUAUGAUGAUGAUGUUUUGUUGAGUUGUAGGAGGAUCAUCUGGCAUGAUGAUGUCUCACAUGUAAGAGAAACUUAAUCCAUGACCUCAGAGAGUAGGAACUAGUUGAUGAUUUUGCUAUUAGUUUUACUUUCAUGAGCACUUUGCUGGUUUUCUCCAUUCUUCUCUUUCGCUGUAUCAUUUACACGCAAAGAAAUCAACUAGGGAAGCUUAUUUGGAUGCUCUAUGAGAUCAGGUCUUGUAUAAGAAAAGAGGAAAAAGAAGAGAAGAAUCAAGACCGGAGGCAUCCGUGAGCUCGUGCCUUUUCUUGCAUCAAAACUUCCUAAUUCAGCAGUAAAAAUCUGAUUGUUGGAUUGUAUACCCUUUACUUUGUGAGUUUAAACAUCCAAGAGGUAGUUUUCUGAAGUUUAUUAAGUUAUGCAUCCAUGGCAAUUAUCGUUGAGAAUGCUUAUGAAGUCUUUGGUUCGUUUAAUCUGUCAUUAUAUGAUUUGGAAAUUACAUGUUAAGAAAUUCUAUACCUUGGUGUUUUUGACUAUUGGAAAAAUUAAAAUUGCUAACUUUUGUUUGUUGAAUCCCAAUUAAGAGGCUCCAUAAGGAAUUGUUUCGAGUAGGGAUCUAUGACAGUUGUAGAUGUUUAUUUGAAUUGUUAAUGUACUAAAUGAUGUAGGUUAGGUUAUACUCUGGCCUUACGAGUGAUAAAUUUUGCUAAAUGAUUCCAUAGUUAGAUAACCAUUGGAACACCUGAGGUUUCAGAUUACAUGAAUCGAGUGGAUUAUGAAUUUCAUGGUCAAAUAAAUACUCAAAACAUCUUAAACCACUAUGACUCGGUAUAUGUGAGAUUUAUGUUAAAGCUAAAGUGUGUAUUAACUCAUGAACCAUGAAGCUCCUAAUUGCAUACUCCAUUCUCCUUUCUUGCUUGGGAAUUUCAAGAAGCAUGACCGAAGUCUGAUAACAAAAAUGAUGAUUAAUAUAUAGAUAGGGUGUAAACAGUGCUUUGUUUCAGAAGAUAAGGUGUCUAAAUUUGGUUGGUUUCGAGUAAAAUCAACUGCUCAUAGUUAUGUCCUAGUUGUGAAAAAGUUCACUAGAAUGAUAUACUUUUUCGUGUUCUGUUAAGAAACUUUAAAUUGCAUGAUUGCAAUUUCUUCUUUGGAUCAGAAUUCUCAGUCCCAGAUAUAUUGUUGUUGCAUAUUUUAUAGGCUCUAGCAGAAACAAUGACUAUUACACUUACAAUUACAAGAUAAGGUACUGACAACUUAACUACAACAUAAAAAAGGAGGGAAGGAAAGAUAUUGUUUGCUUUCGUCUUUGCAUACCAUUAACUCUCAGUCUAUUUGCAUGUGAAGCACUCUUUCAUCAGCAAGAUUAGAUAAUAAGACUGCUCUCAUGCUGCUACUCAUUUUCCAUCCUACGCUUAUUUAUCGGCUUUUACCUUUCGAGUCCAGUUUUCCUGUUAUUGCUGAUCUAUCCAAAGCGGAUUUUAAAAUUCUGUUUUGGUAAGAAUUUCACUAUCCAUUAACUGCGUAUAGAAAGAUACAUAGUGAUGAUAACUGUGAGACCCUGGAACUGGGCCCGGUCCAUUUGACCAUCCCAAAGAAGAAGGAAGCCCUGUUUUAGGGCUUCUUCUCCUUCUCGUUGAGACCAGUUGAAGGGGAGCCGCAAACCCCCCGAGUCUCCUCUUCUUCCUCAUGCAGCCGCCCAAGAGGGAUGGAGGGGGGGGGGGGAGGGAGAGAGCCGAGAAGCCACGGCACGGGUUUCUUCCAUUGCCGCUGGAGAGGAGGAGAAUCGUCGGUCUUCAUCGAAGGCUAAGGUUCUACGAGGAAUUUGUGAGAUUAAUUGGAUUUGUUGUGGAUCGCGUUCAAUGUAAGUAAUAAACUGCCCUUUCUAGACUCUUCAUUUAUAUAAUAUUAUUUUUGCAUCGAAUAAAUUGUUAAUAAAUUUAUAUGUGACUUAUGAAUUUUACGAGAUGAUGAUUUGAAUGAAAGAUAGAUAGAUGAAUUAGAACAAUAUUUUUCGGAUAUAUUUACUGUUCUUGCAUCGUAUAUGCAUAUUUAGAUCGGAUUAUAAUAUAUCUAUUAUGUUAACAAAAGAAUUUUGAUGUGCAUUAGAUUUAGAACUCUCAGCCUGACUAUGUUCUGGACCCUUUCAAUUGGGGGUUAUGCAUUGGCAAUUCUGACCCCACCACAGGAUAUAAGUAUGGUACUCUGGCCCACUCCGCAGGGUAUAAGUACGAUAUUCUAGCCCACUCCGUAGGGUAUAAGUGCAGUUCUGUUUCUAACCUAGCCACAGGGUAUAAGUGUGGUCGUAGUUAAAGGCUGUUGAGUUGAA